UGGCGCCGAAGACGACGAGGA
Molecule: unclassified non-coding RNA, 21 nt
Filed under: Mus musculus (house mouse)
Lineage: Eukaryota; Metazoa; Chordata; Mammalia; Rodentia; Muridae
Description: oocyte_clustered_small_RNA412
Source: RNAcentral